GAAUGANUCGUAAUUUUUGCCUCUCACCAAUUUGUGGUGUCAGGUNGACGUGGAAGUACURCCCAUUMUCCUUGAUUGCUUCGUCCUUUUGCGUUGCARUCGUGGCCCAUGGGUUGCUAYUAGUUCCCUCGGAUGCAGAACCUUUGAUGGGUGCACAGUAUGUUGUUGCUGUUUAACCCCGAAGCGUUUAUCGGUCGAUGCGUACGACAGCUGUGCCCGUCUUGGUUCCCUCUCUAACUUGUUUGGAGGGGGCUCAUGCGGUGCCAGUGUCGCAAAGGAAUGCUACCUGGUUGAUCCUGCCAGUAGUCAUAUGCUUGUCUC
This 321-nucleotide unclassified non-coding RNA is filed under the name Planchonella linggensis. RNAcentral describes it as "partial contains external transcribed spacer (ETS) and 18S rRNA gene". The record is from RNAcentral. Lineage: Eukaryota; Viridiplantae; Streptophyta; Magnoliopsida; Ericales; Sapotaceae.